CGCCCGGAUCGGAUGAUCUACGCCAUGCGAGUCAUUGUAGUAAUACAAGGCAGACGGCUCAGUAACGCGUAGUCAACCUACCCUAUGGACGGGAAUAACCUCGGGAAACUGAGUAUAAUGCCCGAUAGAACAUUAUGCCUGGAAUGGUUUAUGUUCCAAAUGAUUUAUCGCCGUAGGAUGGGACUGCGGCCUAUCAGUUUGUUGGUGAGGUAAUGGCCCACCAAGACUAUUACAGGUACGGGCUCUGAGAGGAGUGGCCCGGAGAUGGGUACUGAGACACGGACCCAGGCCCUAUGGGGCGCAGCAGGCGAGAAAACUUUGCAAUGUGCGAAAGCACGACAAGGUUAAUCCGAGUGGUUUCUGCUAAAGAAACCUUUUGUCAGUCCUAGAAACACUGAUGAAUAAGGGGUGGGCAAGUUCUGGUGUCAGCCGCCGCGGUAAAACCAGCACCUCAAGUGGUCAGGAUGAUUAUUGGGCCUAAAGCAUCCGUAGCCGGCUCUGUUAGUUUUCGGUUAAAUCUGUACGCUCAACGUACAGGCUGCCGGGAAUACUGCAGAGCUAGGGAGUGGGAGAGGUAGACGGUACUCGGUAGGAAGGGGUAAAAUCCUUUGAUCUAUUGAUGACCACCUGUGGCGAAGGCGGUCUACCAGAACACGUCCGACGGUGAGGGAUGAAAGCUGGGGGAGCAAACCGGAUUAGAUACCCGGGUAGUCCCAGCUGUAAACUAUGCAAACUCAGUGAUGCAUUGGCUUGUGGCCAAUGCAGUGCUGCAAGGAAGCCCGUUAGUUUGCCGCCUGGGAAGUACGUACGCCAGUAUGAAACUCAAAUGAUUUGAC
Molecule: ribosomal RNA, 836 nt
Filed under: uncultured crenarchaeote
Lineage: Archaea; Thermoproteati; Thermoproteota
Description: bacterial SSU rRNA
Rfam family: Archaeal small subunit ribosomal RNA
Source: RNAcentral